UAAGCCCUGAACUGGGAGUCUGAGCCUUUGGAUUCCACUUCUGGCCGUGCCCCAGACUAAAUCUUUAAGUUCAGCUCUACGUGGCCAUGGUUCAGUGCUGCUGGCAUAAUGAUGGUUCUAGGGGCAGGUGUUUAUAACACAGCCACCACAUGCCAGGCACUGCUGAGAUCACCUCCCACAACGAUGAAGAAACAAAAACUGGACAGGCUGCCGAAGGGGACUCAGAGGGUAGCUGAGCUGGCUGGGGGCAGGUCUGCUGGCUCUCAAGGUGGUAGCAGAGGAGGUUCAAACACCUGUGCUUCACCGAGUCCAGCGCUCUUCCAGCGAACCCUGGGUGCCAUGGAAAGGAAAAAAGAGUCUGAGAAAAAGCCUGAGAAAUGAAUGUGAUUUCCUCGUGGCGCUGGAUGUGGGUGACUGACCUUCUGCAAGGAACAUAACCUCUGUGAGACUCAGCUUCCUUACCUGGAAAAUGGGCAAAAUAAUGGCACUCAGCUCACCGGAUGGCUGUGAGGUGAAUGAGACGAUGUAUACGAAGCAACUGGCUCAGAAGGUUCCAGAAACUGGCAGCUACAGCUAUUGUUCUUCAAGAGUCCCUCCACUGGGAUUCUGGUGAUUCAGGGGCAUGAAGCACAGGAAAUAAAAAAGCAGAAUUUGGCAAGGGACCUCAUGUUUCAAGAAGGUUCCUCCAGGGCUAUUGUGGGGAGCCCCCACACCCCAGAUCCUGCCUGUCAUUCAGUCUCAGUGCUGUUUUGCCAUUGAAACGCCUACCAGUGUCACAUGCACAAAUGUCAAAUGGUAAGUUCAAUGCAGAGAGGGGUGGGUUGCUC
Molecule: non-coding RNA, 827 nt
Organism: Oryctolagus cuniculus (rabbit)
Lineage: Eukaryota; Metazoa; Chordata; Mammalia; Lagomorpha; Leporidae
Source: RefSeq, a predicted model, not a curated record